This 73-nucleotide transfer RNA is filed under the name Cordylochernes scorpioides. RNAcentral describes it as "tRNA-Thr". It matches the Rfam family "tRNA". From Rfam's summary of the family: Transfer RNA (tRNA) molecules are approximately 80 nucleotides in length. Their secondary structure includes four short double-helical elements and three loops (D, anti-codon, and T loops). Further hydrogen bonds mediate the characteristic L-shaped molecular structure. tRNAs have two regions of fundamental functional importance: the anti-codon, which is responsible for specific mRNA codon recognition, and the 3' end, to which the tRNAs corresponding amino acid is attached (by aminoacyl-tRNA synthetases). tRNAs cope with the degeneracy of the genetic code in two manners: having more than one tRNA (with a specific anti-codon) for a particular amino acid; and 'wobble' base-pairing, i.e. permitting non-standard base-pairing at the 3rd anti-codon position. The record is from RNAcentral. Lineage: Eukaryota; Metazoa; Arthropoda; Arachnida; Pseudoscorpiones; Chernetidae.
UCCAGGGUAGCCUAGUGGACAUGGCAUCUGCCCAGUAAGCGGAACACAGUGGGUUCGAUUUCCAUCCCUGGAC